RNAcentral lists this ribosomal RNA (724 nucleotides) under uncultured Pseudomonadota bacterium. RNAcentral's name for it is "bacterial SSU rRNA". It matches the Rfam family "Bacterial small subunit ribosomal RNA", at positions 46 to 749 of the family's 1533-position model. The record is from RNAcentral. Lineage: Bacteria; Pseudomonadati; Pseudomonadota.
GCCUACCAUGCAAGUCGAACGAGAACGGGUUCUUCGGAAUCUUAGUAGAGUGGCGCACGGGUGAGUAACGCGUGGAUAAUCUACCUUAUGGAUUGGGAUAACUUUGCGAAAGCGGAGCUAAUACCGAAUGGUCUGAUUAAAUUAAUUUUUUUUGGUAAAGGUGGCCUCUAUAUAUAAGCUAUCGCCAUGAGAUGAGUCCGCGUAUCAUUAGCUAGUUGGUAAGGUAAUGGCUUACCAAGGCUACGAUGAUUAGCUGGUCUGAGAGGAUGAUCAGCCACACUGGAACUGAAACACGGUCCAGACUCCUACGGGAGGCAGCAGUGGGGAAUAUUGGGCAAUGGGCGCAAGCCUGACCCAGCAACGCCGCGUGAGGGAUGAAGGUUUUCGGAUCGUAAACCUCUGUCAGAAGGGAAGAAGUGGAUUAUAUUAAAUAGAUAUAGUUUUUGACGGUACCUUCAAAGGAAGCACCGGCUAACUCCGUGCCAGCAGCCGCGGUAAUACGGAGUGUGCGAGCGUUAUUCGGAAUUACUGGGCGUAAAGCGCGCGUAGGCGGCGAGGUAAGUCAGAUGUGAAAGCCCACGGCCCAACCGUGGAAUUGCAUUUGAAACUGCUUUGCUAGAGUUCGGGAGAGGAUAGCGGAAUUCCAGGUGUAGGAGUGAAAUCCGUAGAUAUCUGGAGGAACACCAGUGGCGAAGGCGGCUAUCUGGCCCGAUACUGACGCUGA